Molecule: long non-coding RNA, 199 nt
Filed under: Parus major (Great Tit)
Lineage: Eukaryota; Metazoa; Chordata; Aves; Passeriformes; Paridae
Description: lncRNA (ENSPMJG00000010366.1)
Source: RNAcentral
CUCCUUAUAGUUUUGCACCUGAGAAGUAUCUGGAUCUGGCAUUAUUCUACAUUAGUAUUUCAUGCACAUUCCUUACAAUUGAAUAUAUAAGGAAACCAAUGGUUACUUUAAUGAAAUAUAUAAAAUAAGGAGAGAACAUAACAGACCACUCAUCCCUGUAUCAGGUAAGACCAAGUUCAAAGUACCUCAUUACCUGUCU